This 513-nucleotide ribosomal RNA is filed under the name uncultured bacterium. RNAcentral's name for it is "partial 16S ribosomal RNA". It matches the Rfam family "Bacterial small subunit ribosomal RNA", at positions 28 to 507 of the family's 1533-position model. The record is from RNAcentral.
GACGAACGCUGGCGGCGUGCUUAACACAUGCAAGUCGAACGAGAGCGUAGAGAAAGCUUGCUUUUUCUACAAUCUAGUGGCAAACGGGUGAGUAACGCGUAAACAACCUGCCCUACGGAUGGGGACAACAGCUGGAAACGGCUGCUAAUACCGAAUACGUUCCGAAAGUCGCAUGACUAUCGGAAGAAAGGAUGGCCUCUAUUUAUAAGCUAUCGCCGGAGGAGGGGUUUGCGUCUGAUUAGCUAGUUGGAGGGGUAACGGCCCACCAAGGCGACGAUCAGGAGCCGGUCUGAGAGGAUGAACGGCCACAUUGGAACUGAGACACGGUCCAGACUCCUACGGGAGGCAGCAGUGGGGAAUCUUCCGCAAUGGGCGAAAGCCUGACGGAGCAACGCCGCGUGAGUGAAGACGGCCUUCGGGUUGUAAAGCUCUGUUAUACGGGACGAAUAAUCUUGUGGUUAAUACCCAUGAGAAGUGACGGUACCGUAAGAGAAAGCCACGGCUAACUACGUG